RNAcentral lists this ribosomal RNA (535 nucleotides) under Epichloe festucae var. lolii. Its description in RNAcentral is "partial large subunit ribosomal RNA". It matches the Rfam family "Eukaryotic large subunit ribosomal RNA", at positions 47 to 590 of the family's 3401-position model. The record is from RNAcentral. Lineage: Eukaryota; Fungi; Ascomycota; Sordariomycetes; Hypocreales; Clavicipitaceae.
UAAGCGGAGGAAAAGAAACCAACAGGGAUUGCCCCAGUAACGGCGAGUGAAGCGGCAACAGCUCAAAUUUGAAAUCUGGCCCCCCGGGGCCCGAGUUGUAAUUUGCAGAGGAUGCUUUUGGCGAGGCGCCUUCCGAGUUCCCUGGAACGGGACGCCACAGAGGGUGAGAGCCCCGUCUGGUUGGAUGCCGAGCCUCUGUAAAGCUCCUUCGACGAGUCGAGUAGUUUGGGAAUGCUGCUCUAAAUGGGAGGUAUAUGUCUUCUAAAGCUAAAUAUUGGCCAGAGACCGAUAGCGCACAAGUAGAGUGAUCGAAAGAUGAAAAGCACUUUGAAAAGAGGGUUAAAUAGUACGUGAAAUUGUUGAAAGGGAAGCGCUCAUGACCAGACUUGGGCCCGGUGAAUCAUCCAGCGUUCUCGCUGGUGCACUUUGCCGGGCUCAGGCCAGCAUCAGUUCGCCCCGGGGGAGAAAGGCUCUGGGAAUGUGGCUCCUCCGGGAGUGUUAUAGCCCUCUGCGCAAUGCCCUGGGGCGGACUGAG